Molecule: ribosomal RNA, 858 nt
Filed under: uncultured bacterium
Lineage: Bacteria
Description: SSU rRNA
Rfam family: Bacterial small subunit ribosomal RNA
Source: RNAcentral
UACGUAGGGGGCGAGCGUUGUCCGGAUUUAUUGGGCGUAAAGAGCUCGUAGGCGGUUCAACAAGUCGGUCGUGAAAGUUCAGGGCUCAACCCUGAAAUGUCGAUCGAUACUGUUGUGACUAGGAUACGGUAGAGGUGAGUGGAAUUCCGAGUGUAGCGGUGAAAUGCGUAGAUAUUCGGAGGAACACCAAUUGCGAAGGCAGCUCACUGGGCCGCUAUCGACGCUGAGGAGCGAAAGCUAGGGGAGCAAACAGGAUUAGAUACCCUGGUAGUCCUAGCUGUAAACGAUGGAUACUAGACGUAGGAACUGGAUUGACGGUUUCUGUGUCGUAGCUAACGCGUUAAGUAUCCCGCCUGGGGAGUACGGUCGCAAGACUAAAACUCAAAGGAAUUGACGGGACCCCGCACAAGCGGCGGAGCAUGCGGCUUAAUUCGAUGAUACCCGUAGAACCUUACCUGGACUUGACAUAUAGGGUCUAGCUAUAGAGAUAUAGUGUGCAUUAGCGCCCUAUACAGGUGGUGCAUGGCUGUCGUCAGCUCGUGUCGUGAGAUGUUGGGUUGAGUCCCGCAACGAGCGCAACCCCUAUCCUAUGUUGCCAGCAUUUAGUUGGGGACUCAUAGGAGACUGCCGGUGAUAAACCGGAGGAAGGUGGGGACGACGUCAAGUCAUCAUGCCCCUUAUGUCCAGGGCUGCACGCAUGCUACAAUGGCAAGUACAACGAGUCGCAAUACCGCGAGGUGGAGCAAAUCUCUUAAAGCUUGUCUCAGUUCGGAUAGGAGUCUGCAACUCGACUCCUUGAAGUUGGAGUCGCUAGUAAUCGCAAAUCAGCAAAGUUGCGGUGAAUACGUUCUCGGGGUU